GACGAACGCUGGCGGCGUGCUUAACACAUGCAAGUCGAACGGUAAGGCCCUUCGGGUACACGAGUGGCGAACGGGUGAGUAACACGUGGUGAUCUGCCCUGCACUUCGGGAUAAGCCUGGGAAACUGGGUCUAAUACCGGAUAGGACUCCUGGCUUCAUGGUUGGGGUGUAAAGCUUUUGCGGUGUGGGAUGGGCCCGCGGCCUAUCAGCUUGUUGGUGGGGUAAUGGCCUACCAAGGCGACGACGGGUAGCCGGCCUGAGAGGGUGACCGGCCACACUGGGACUGAGAUACGGCCCAGACUCCUACGGGAGGCAGCAGUGGGGAAUAUUGCACAAUGGGCGCAAGCCUGAUGCAGCGACGCCGCGUGAGGGAUGACGGGCC
Molecule: ribosomal RNA, 382 nt
Filed under: uncultured bacterium
Lineage: Bacteria
Description: bacterial SSU rRNA
Rfam family: Bacterial small subunit ribosomal RNA
Source: RNAcentral